RNAcentral lists this ribosomal RNA (1372 nucleotides) under uncultured bacterium. RNAcentral describes it as "bacterial SSU rRNA". It matches the Rfam family "Bacterial small subunit ribosomal RNA", at positions 28 to 1381 of the family's 1533-position model. The record is from RNAcentral.
GAUGAACGCUGGCGGCGUGCCUAAUACAUGCAAGUCGAGCGAACAGACGAGGAGCUUGCUCCUUUGACGUUAGCGGCGGACGGGUGAGUAACACGUGGGUAACCUACCUAUAAGACUGGGAUAACUUCGGGAAACCGGAGCUAAUACCGGAUAAUAUUUCGAACCGCAUGGUUCGAUAGUGAAAGAUGGCUUUGCUAUCACUUAUAGAUGGACCUGCGCCGUAUUAGCUAGUUGGUAAGGUAACGGCUUACCAAGGCAACGAUACGUAGCCGACCUGAGAGGGUGAUCGGCCACACUGGAACUGAGACACGGUCCAGACUCCUACGGGAGGCAGCAGUAGGGAAUCUUCCGCAAUGGGCGAAAGCCUGACGGAGCAACGCCGCGUGAGUGAUGAAGGUCUUCGGAUCGUAAAACUCUGUUAUUAGGGAAGAACAAACGUGUAAGUAACUGUGCACGUCUUGACGGUACCUAAUCAGAAAGCCACGGCUAACUACGUGCCAGCAGCCGCGGUAAUACGUAGGUGGCAAGCGUUAUCCGGAAUUAUUGGGCGUAAAGCGCGCGUAGGCGGUUUUUUAAGUCUGAUGUGAAAGCCCACGGCUCAACCGUGGAGGGUCAUUGGAAACUGGAAAACUUGAGUGCAGAAGAGGAAAGUGGAAUUCCAUGUGUAGCGGUGAAAUGCGCAGAGAUAUGGAGGAACACCAGUGGCGAAGGCGACUUUCUGGUCUGUAACUGACGCUGAUGUGCGAAAGCGUGGGGAUCAAACAGGAUUAGAUACCCUGGUAGUCCACGCCGUAAACGAUGAGUGCUAAGUGUUAGGGGGUUUCCGCCCCUUAGUGCUGCAGCUAACGCAUUAAGCACUCCGCCUGGGGAGUACGACCGCAAGGUUGAAACUCAAUGGAAUUGACGGGGACCCGCACAAGCGGUGGAGCAUGUGGUUUAAUUCGAAGCAACGCGAAGAACCUUACCAAAUCUUGACAUCCUUUGACCCUUCUAGAGAUAGAAGUUUCCCCUUCGGGGGACAAAGUGACAGGUGGUGCAUGGUUGUCGUCAGCUCGUGUCGUGAGAUGUUGGGUUAAGUCCCGCAACGAGCGCAACCCUUAAGCUUAGUUGCCAUCAUUAAGUUGGGCACUCUAAGUUGACUGCCGGUGACAAACCGGAGGAAGGUGGGGAUGACGUCAAAUCAUCAUGCCCCUUAUGAUUUGGGCUACACACGUGCUACAAUGGACAAUACAAAGGGCAGCGAAACCGCGAGGUCAAGCAAAUCCCAUAAAGUUGUUCUCAGUUCGGAUUGUAGUCUGCAACUCGACUACAUGAAGCUGGAAUCGCUAGUAAUCGUAGAUCAGCAUGCUACGGUGAAUACGUUCCCGGGUCU